CUGUAAAGUUCUAAGUUCUUAAACUUCAAGUUUAAUGUGUGUGUGUGUGUGUGUUUUUAAGUAGCUGAGGUCUCUAAGAAAACUGUUACAGAAGAGAAAAGAUUUUUUGCAGAAGAAAAAGUAUCAAUGGCAGUUCCCCACAGAGUGGAAGUCACCCACCAUGAAGUAUCAGCAGAGGAAGAAUGGGGUUAUGAAGAAGAAGAAGAAGAAGAAGUAUCCGUUUCAGUUUAUAGAGAAGAGGAAAGAGAAGAGGAGGAGGAGGAACGAGUGGAGGUUACAGCAUAUGAAGUGAUGGAAGAGCCAGAAGAAUAUGUCAUGGAAGAAAAGCUACAUGUUAUUUCUAAAAGGGUCGAAAUGGAACCUGCUGAAGUGCCCGAGAUGCCUCGGAGAGUGGUCCAGAAACAAAAAGUACCUGCUGCUGUUCCUCCAAAAGAGGAGGCUCCUCCUGUAAAAGGUAUAAUCUCCUAUGAAAAAUGCAGACUCAUCCUUGUCUUUUAACUCUUCUUUGGACAAUGUUUAAUUAAAAUUAUGUCAAUACAUAGAUGUCUAUUUGUUCCCCU
RNAcentral lists this long non-coding RNA (560 nucleotides) under Phascolarctos cinereus (koala). Its description in RNAcentral is "lncRNA (ENSPCIG00000036833.1)". The record is from RNAcentral. Lineage: Eukaryota; Metazoa; Chordata; Mammalia; Diprotodontia; Phascolarctidae.